GGGCAUUUUGACUAGAGACCGGCCCACCAGUACUUAGCCGAAACCCAAAGACUGCUUGGUUUACCUCCUGAACUUUCUACAACACAUGGAGGAAACCUGAAAUUAAGACAGAGAAGACUAGAGGUGAGACAUGAUCAUUACUGAAUAUUAAAAAUAAUAAAUGACAGAUUUAGUGAUAUUUUCAUAAACUAUUUAUUUACCACAUCAAUAAACAGCAUGGCAGGGCAAAAUAUUUUUUCUAACAUGGCAACCUUUAAAAAGUGAAAGGAGACAGAAAGAAAGGUGAGAAAGAAUAAAACUUCCUCACUCAAAACUUACCAUCAAAACUUAAUUUUGAUGGUA
This is a long non-coding RNA of Oreochromis niloticus (Nile tilapia), 342 nucleotides long. RefSeq lists it as uncharacterized. Lineage: Eukaryota; Metazoa; Chordata; Actinopteri; Cichliformes; Cichlidae. The transcript is spliced from 2 exons. The record is from RefSeq and is a predicted model, not a curated record.